This is a long non-coding RNA of Dermacentor andersoni, 744 nucleotides long. RefSeq lists it as uncharacterized. NCBI's taxonomy places the organism in Eukaryota, Metazoa, Arthropoda, Arachnida, Ixodida, Ixodidae. The record is from RefSeq and is a predicted model, not a curated record.
AAUACCGUUCCUGUUUCCUCGAUAGCGUCCGGGAGAAUCCGAGGUGCGCAGCGGUCGAAUCGUCAUGCAGGGCGUGCAGAACUUCUGGAGGCAGCGGUGAGAGAACAACAACAAGGUAGUUUGCACGGUCUGGCUGGACAACCUCUGGUGAAUGCAGGGUGACUGCUGCCGCAGUUCGCACAAUGCAUGUCAUCGUUAUUACAGUCGUCAACAAAGCGACCGAUUGUGCCGCACUUUGCGCACAUAAGCUGUCCUCGGCAGCUCUGGGAUGCGUAACCAAAUCUCGUAACAUUUCAAGCAACGUCACGGGUUCGGAUUUUAAGGUCGAACAUGAAGUUCUACAUAGCCGGUUUCAAGUGUCUCGGGCAAAGUAGUUGUACUGAAAAUCGCAAGGCGCACCGACUGUUCACGGCGCAAUGCUGAAGAAACAACUUGUCGAGUGCGAGAAAGGACGGAACAUCACGGUAUUCCUGCCCCGAGAUGGACGCGACAAGCGGCUUCCGCAGGUCCCCGAUACUGGCCCCCGCUGAAGCUCCUGAGGAUCAAAUAAAGUUCAUUAUCUGUCUGUCUGUCCAGUGCUGCUUCUGCGAGUGCGCUGAGUUCCUCCACUCUGCGUGACUGCGAGCGUCACGAAUAUUGCAUAGUGUGUGCGAAAGGAAGACAGCCUAUAUAGCUACGAUGCGACAAGGAGUUGGUGCCAACGAUGGAUCUCGCUACCAACACAGUGAAGGAGACAUCGACAAA